Long non-coding RNA from Cucumis sativus (cucumber), 1082 nucleotides. RefSeq lists it as uncharacterized. NCBI's taxonomy places the organism in Eukaryota, Viridiplantae, Streptophyta, Magnoliopsida, Cucurbitales, Cucurbitaceae. The transcript is spliced from 2 exons. The record is from RefSeq and is a predicted model, not a curated record.
AAGUUUAAAGGUUAUGGAAUGAGUUAUUAAUUGAGGAGAGAGAAGGAGUUAUUAUUUUAUUUGGAAAAAGAAAAGGAAAAAAAAAAUAAUGAUAACUUGGAGACUUAACCUCAUUAUCCUUCAGGUCACCAUCUGCCAUCACGUAGUCAUCGUCGGAGACUCAACUUGUAGCUAGUCGUCGCUCGUUUAGUCGAAAUCUUCUCGUUGAUUGCUGAGUUGAGCAUCUCUUCUUGUCUUCAAAAUCACUUGAAAUCGGUCGUCCCCUCCUUCAUCAAAAUCGUCGUCGCCCGUAGCCCCCUCCUCCGUCGAAACCGUCACCGAUCGUGGUCUCCAUUCGCACAGUGUCGCUAGCCAUCGUCGCACUUGACGAUCAAGGACGCAAGCCGAGUCGAUCUUCUUUUUGUGAGCUACGCGUCCAAGCCGUGUUAGUCUGAGUUGCAUCCCCUUCACCGAGCCGUGUUAGUCUGAGUCGUGUCCCCUUCACCGAGCCGUGUGAGCCACGAUCUCUUAUGCGAGUCGUCUCCGUUUUUUCGAGCCGCACGCAUGCUUCCUCCUCCACAAGUUGUGCGCCUGAGUGCCCUGCCGAGUUGUCCCCUAUCUUGGAGUCACGUUUGGUGAGUUUUUGCUUAGUAUUGAUUGAGUUUGGUACUUCCAUUAAGUACCUAUUUUGUCCUAAAUGAGUUAAGUUAUGGAUUUAUGUUGAUUUAUGUUUGGUUGAAGGUUAAGUAUAAUUUAAGAAAAUGAGGCUAUGAAUUUUUCUAAUUAAGGUUGAGUUGGAUUCAACCUUAAUCUUGGGGUAAGUUUUAAUAAGCUUGGUUGUCUAGUUAAACAGUAGGGUGAUAGUUGACAAAAUUAUUAAUUUUAACUUUGUUCAUCUUUAAGACCGAGUCUUGGGAAGAGUUGAUUGACAACCAGUGAACAAUCUUUAGCAAAUCUUCAGGGUGAUUCCUUCGGGUUCAUUGAGAGCCCAAAUGUAUUUCUAUGGAACUACUGGAUAGCGUGCAUUCGGGAGCACAAUAGUAUGAGGUACUUUAUUAUAGGACUCUAACGGAAUAACUUUUAAGAAUAGAUUUAAAAGAUCA